CCCAGGGCCAGCAGCAGCUCCACGCACUCCGCCUGCUCUGGGGCGCCAGAGCCGCCCUCCCUGCAGGGACCAGAUGCAGUGAGCCGCAGCCUCAUCUCAUUCUGGGAUAGGAAAUGGUCCUUGGCACCAGCAGACCCUUAGCCUGAUGGAGGUGGCUGUGCAGCUGUGCAGACCUCUGGGCUCCAGGCCCCAGCCAGGUGGAAGUUGCUGUGCAGCUGUGCAGACCUCUGGGCACCCUGCUUUUGUUAUUCCCAAUAGAAUUCUGGAGCUGCUGACCAGGAUUCCAAAUGGGAAAGACCAACUGUCAUCAGUCUAACUACACUGAGAAUAAACUGCUUCACUUCUCUC
This is a long non-coding RNA of Nannospalax galili (Upper Galilee mountains blind mole rat), 348 nucleotides long. RefSeq lists it as uncharacterized. The record is from RefSeq and is a predicted model, not a curated record. The transcript has 2 exons. Lineage: Eukaryota; Metazoa; Chordata; Mammalia; Rodentia; Spalacidae.